UUACGACCAGGGCUACACACGUGCUACAAUGGCGCAUACAAAGAGAAGCGACCUCGCGAGAGCAAGCGGACCUCAUAAAGUGCGUCGUAGUCCGGAUUGGAGUCUGCAACUCGACUCCAUGAAGUCGGAAUCGCUAGUAAUCGUGGAUCAGAAUGCCACGGUGAAUACGUUCCCGGGCCUUGUACACACCGCCCGUCACACCAUGGGAGUGGGUUGCAAAAGAAGUAGGUAGCUUAACCUUCGGGAGGGCGCUUACCACUUUGUGAUUCAUGACUGGGGUGAAGUCGUAACAAGGUAACCGUAGGGGAACCUGC
Molecule: ribosomal RNA, 314 nt
Filed under: Salmonella enterica
Lineage: Bacteria; Pseudomonadati; Pseudomonadota; Gammaproteobacteria; Enterobacterales; Enterobacteriaceae
Description: bacterial SSU rRNA
Rfam family: Bacterial small subunit ribosomal RNA
Source: RNAcentral